GAGAGGGGUCAGAGCUACUUGC
This 22-nucleotide non-coding RNA is filed under the name Arabidopsis thaliana (thale cress). The record is from RNAcentral. Lineage: Eukaryota; Viridiplantae; Streptophyta; Magnoliopsida; Brassicales; Brassicaceae.